UGGUGGAGUGAUUUGUCUGGUUAAUUCCGUUAACGAACGAGACCCCGCCUGCUAAAUAGUGCCAUGAGUGAUAUUUCACUGAUUGGUGCUUCUUAGAGGGACGUGCAUUCUAUUAGAUGCAGGAGGAUGGGGGCAAUAACA
Molecule: ribosomal RNA, 141 nt
Filed under: uncultured eukaryote
Lineage: Eukaryota
Description: partial 18S ribosomal RNA
Rfam family: Eukaryotic small subunit ribosomal RNA
Source: RNAcentral